UGAUGAAUGACAGUGCAAUCUUCCCUUGGCAGAGAGAACGAUAGUACAGUAUUUCGAUAACAUACUCUUAUAACUUUCUGUCUGCCAAGGGAGAAUUGCCCCGCCAUUCGCCC
This is a microRNA precursor of Macleaya cordata, 113 nucleotides long. It matches the Rfam family "mir-399 microRNA precursor family". From Rfam's summary of the family: mir-399 was identified in both Arabidopsis thaliana and Oryza sativa computationally and was later experimentally verified. mir-399 is thought to target mRNAs coding for a phosphatase transporter. The record is from Rfam. NCBI's taxonomy places the organism in Eukaryota, Viridiplantae, Streptophyta, Magnoliopsida, Ranunculales, Papaveraceae.